Molecule: long non-coding RNA, 94 nt
Organism: Melanotaenia boesemani (Boeseman's rainbowfish)
Lineage: Eukaryota; Metazoa; Chordata; Actinopteri; Atheriniformes; Melanotaeniidae
Exons: 3
Source: RefSeq, a predicted model, not a curated record
UAAGAGGUUAAACUCAGAUCAUAUUUAUUAUCUCUGUCUUAUACAAUGGGAAAAAUAUGUGUGAGAACUAUUGAUCAAUCAUGGGAGGGCCAGC